This is a long non-coding RNA of Glossina fuscipes, 466 nucleotides long. RefSeq lists it as uncharacterized. The record is from RefSeq and is a predicted model, not a curated record. The transcript is spliced from 3 exons. NCBI's taxonomy places the organism in Eukaryota, Metazoa, Arthropoda, Insecta, Diptera, Glossinidae.
GUGGUUGCUGUUGCCUGGUCCUGCGUGCAGCUAAUAACGUGCAAAGAUAGGAGUGUCCGUCCCAGCAACAGGCAUCAGAUAAGCAGCUUGACUGAUGAUUACCCAAGCAGUACGGCAUAUAUAAUUGAUCCAUGCCAAAAAACCAUCCGCAUAAUUAUUUAAUUGUUGCUUUUCCUAAACUCAAAGGUCCGCAAAAAGAAAGCAGUCAUGAAAUGUAAAUUCCGCUGCGCAAAUAUAUCCAAGCAGCAACUAUUAUCACGUAAUAACUGGUAUUGGCGGUAGUAUUUUGUAAUCCUUGAAACAACAUCAAUUCAUAUCUGGAUGCAAACCAAUUUUUAUUCCUUCUCAUAAGCUAUUUUUUCUAAUUUCCGAUAUCACUUUAGUAGACAUAUUUAUUUACAUCAUAUAAGAAAAAAUUAUAAUCACAAAUGUAAUUGUAUGUAAACAAUAAACCGUACUUCUUUUU